RNAcentral lists this ribosomal RNA (1368 nucleotides) under metagenome. RNAcentral describes it as "bacterial LSU rRNA". It matches the Rfam family "Bacterial large subunit ribosomal RNA", at positions 1537 to 2925 of the family's 2925-position model. The record is from RNAcentral.
AAAAUCCGCUGUACAAUCCGAAGACGUGAUGCGGACCGAAUUAAGAGUAGGGAAGUGUGUGAGCCAUGCGUCAAGAAAAGCCGCUAUUGUUUUACUUAAGCCCGUACCGUAAACCGACACAGGUGGAUGAGGAGAGAUCCUAAGGCCGACGGGAGAAGCAUUGUUAAGGAACUCGGCAAAAUGACUCCGUAACUUCGGGAGAAGGAGUGCCAGCGAGAGCUGGCCGCAGAGAAUUGGCCCAAGCAACUGUUUAGCAAAAACACAGGUCUAUGCAAAACCGUAAGGUGAAGUAUAUGGGCUGACGCCUGCCCGGUGCUGGAAGGUUAAGAGGAGAGGUUAGCGGCAACGCGAAGCUUUGAAUUUAAGCCCCAGUAAACGGCGGCCGUAACGAUAACGGUCCUAAGGUAGCGAAAUUCCUUGUCGGGUAAGUUCCGACCUGCACGAAAGGCGUAAUGAUUUGGGCACUGUCUCAACAAUGCACCCGGUGAAAUUGAAAUACCAGUGAAGAUGCUGGUUACCUGCGCCAGGACGGAAAGACCCCAUGGAGCUUUACUCCAGCUUGAUACUGGGAUUCGGUAUUGCAUGUACAGGAUAGGUGGGAGGCUAGGAAGUGAUAACGCCAGUUGUCACGGAGCCGCUGUUGGGAUACCACCCUUGCAGUAUUGGAUUUCUAACCAGCGACCAUGAACUGGUCGGGGGACAAUGUCAGGUGGGGAGUUUGACUGGGGCGGUCGCCUCCGAAAGGGUAUCGGAGGCGCUCAAAGGUUCCCUCAGAAUGGACGGAAACCAUUCGAAGAGUGCAAAGGCAGAAGGGAGCUUGACUGCGACACCGACGGGUGGAGCAGGUACGAAAGUAGGACUUAGUGAUCCGGUGGUAUAAAGUGGGAUUGCCAUCGCUCAACGGAUAAAAGCUACCCUGGGAUAACAGGCUUAUCACUCCCAAGAGUUCACAUCGACGGAGUGGUUUGGCACCUCGAUGUCGGCUCAUCGCAUCCUGGGGCUGAAGUAGGUCCCAAGGGUUGGGCUGUUCGCCCAUUAAAGCGGUACGCGAGCUGGGUUCAGAACGUCGUGAGACAGUUCGGUCCCUAUCCGGCGUGGGCGUAGGAUAUUUGAGAGGAGCUGUCCUUAGUACGAGAGGACCGGGAUGGACUGGCCGCUGGUGUAUCUGUUGCAUACCAAAUGCAUGGCAGAGUAGCCAAGCCGGGACGGGAUAAACGCUGAAGGCAUCUAAGCGUGAAGCCCCCCUCAAGAUGAGAUAUCCCUACGUAAGUAGUAAGACCCCUUGAAGACGACGAGGUAGAUAGGUCAGAGGUGGAAGUACAGUAAUGUAUGGAGCUGACUGAUACUAAUCGGUCGAGGGCAUGACCG